Molecule: transfer RNA, 73 nt
Filed under: Candidatus Woesearchaeota archaeon
Lineage: Archaea; Nanobdellati; Candidatus Woesearchaeota
Description: tRNA-Val
Rfam family: tRNA
About the family: Transfer RNA (tRNA) molecules are approximately 80 nucleotides in length. Their secondary structure includes four short double-helical elements and three loops (D, anti-codon, and T loops).
Source: RNAcentral
GGGCCCGUGGUUUAGUGGCUAUAACGUGGCCUUUACGAGGCUAAGGUCGCCGGUUCGAAUCCGGCCGGGCCCA